GACGAACGCUGGCGGCGUGCUUAACACAUGCAAGUCGAACGGAAAGGCCCUGCUUUUGUGGGGUGCUCGAGUGGCGAACGGGUGAGUAACACGUGAGUAACCUGCCCUUGACUUUGGGAUAACUUCAGGAAACUGGGGCUAAUACCGGAUAGGAGCUCCUGCUGCAUGGUGGGGGUUGGAAAGUUUCGGCGGUUGGGGAUGGACUCGCGGCUUAUCAGCUUGUUGGUGGGGUAGUGGCUUACCAAGGCUUUGACGGGUAGCCGGCCUGAGAGGGUGACCGGCCCCAUUGGGCCUGAGCUACGGCCCAGACUCCUACGGGAGGCAGCAGUGGGGAAUAUUGCACAAUGGGCGGAAGCCUGAUGCAGCAACGCCGCGUGCGGGAUGACGGCCUUCGGGUUGUAAACCGCUUUCGCCUGUGACGAAGCGUGAGUGACGGUAAUGGGUAAAGAAGCACCGGCUAACUACGUG
Molecule: ribosomal RNA, 468 nt
Filed under: uncultured bacterium
Lineage: Bacteria
Description: partial 16S ribosomal RNA
Rfam family: Bacterial small subunit ribosomal RNA
Source: RNAcentral